This 42905-nucleotide long non-coding RNA is filed under the name Erythranthe guttata (spotted monkey flower). RNAcentral's name for it is "long non-coding RNA (EGUT_LNC000973)". Lineage: Eukaryota; Viridiplantae; Streptophyta; Magnoliopsida; Lamiales; Phrymaceae. The record is from RNAcentral.
GUUUUAAUUAGGUUUAGUUGGAUGAGAGAGAAUUUAGAGAGAGAGAAAAGAAGAAGGUAACGGUGAAUGGGAGAGCGGUAGACCCGGAUCAUGUUAUUACAGAUAAAAAAGGUUUUAAAGUCGUGUAGAGGACGAUGGACCCAUUUCUCUGUUCCCCUAGCUCUCCCAUAUCAAUGUACAUCUCUCUCUCUACAACUAUACAAUUCUCUCUUCUUUCUCUCUCUUGUUUAUCUAUCCAUAUUUCUUCUGUAGUGUAGGGUUUUGGAAAACGUACAAAAUUGACGCAACCUACCUAAGUUAAGUAUUGGGGUUUCAUUUCAUUUGUACAGUAAAUAGUAAAUACAUACAUAUAUAUUUUAAUGGCGAUUCUCUCCCUCUCUCUUUCUCUCUCUAGUUUCUCUCUCAUCAAAAAGUAAGGAUGAACAGUGAGUGCUCGAAAUCCCACAAUAGAGAAACUGUUUCUCUCACACAUACUGACACUCGGAAAGAGGUUGUGGCCAGGAGCCUGUACUGAUCAUCUGAAACACGAAUUCAAUACGCUCAUACAUAUAUAUACACAUAUAUAUUUGUAUGUAUCUACAGUAAUAAGAUUAUUAUAUAUAUAUUAUUGUGAUUUGUGUGUUGUCUCUUCCUAAAUGAACUGAUUCUUUGUCUGAGAUUUUCGCAUCUGGAGGAUGCACACGCAUUAUGACGUCAUCACUAAUCAAAGAAGAAUGAUGAGUCUUACUAAUUAAUUAGCUCUAUCACUCAUUCAAUUUUGCUUAAGUUUUGAUUUUUAUUUUAAACAUAAUUAAUGCCUUCUCCUCUGCUUAUUCUUUUUGUUCCUACUAUAACCCUAUUAUACCCACUGCCUAAUUAACAGUGUUACUAUAUGCAAAUACCUCUCUCUCUCUCUCUCUCUCUCUCUCUCUCUCUCUCUCUCUCUCUCUCUCUCUCUAUAUAUAUAUAUAUAUAUAUAUAUAUAUAUAUAUAUAUAUAUAUAUAUAUAUAUAUAUAUAUAUAUCAACAGCACUUCAUUUAGAUACAUACACGAUGAGUGUACUAAAAUAUAUAAAUUAAAUUAUGUUGAAAUAAAGUAAGUAGAUGCGUACUAUAUAUAUAAUAUAAAAGAACUCUGAAGAUAAAUUUUAUUUUUUUAUAUUUGUCUAACCUUAUAUAAAGUUAUAUAGAACGAAUAAGAUGAAAAUAAUUUCUUGUAAUAACUUAGUCAUAACUCAUAUAUGUAUAAUUUUUUUGAGGAAUAGUUUAUUUAUAAUACACUAUUAUAAAUAUAUAUGUGUGUGUGUGUGUGUGUGUGUGUGUCUUGAUGAGACAGAUAUUUAUAUGUAUGUUGAGUAACAGCUCCAAGCAGGCGUGACAAAAGUUUGGUAUGAAAACUGACAAAUAUAUAUUCGACAUUAAUGUUUGAUUUUGAUUGAAAGAUAUACAUUCAAUGAUAUAAGCUGUUUUUUUGUUGAUUUUAGUUAUACAUAUUUUGCUGUAUUAUUAAUUGCAAAGAAGGUUUAAUUAAUUUCUUUUAGGGAGAGGUGUUUUGAAUGAUAUAAUUUAUAUUGUACUCGUCGAAUUAUGUUUGAAUAUAUUAAUGAAAAGUAAAUAUUAAUUAGUUAAUGUUUGAAUAUUGAUUUUGAAUGUGAAAAAAUAACCUUGGAAAGGCCUUCGAAAAUCCUUACAUACAUAUUAGUUUCAAAUAAUGGAAUUAAUAAUUGGUGCUGCGAAAAAAAAAAAAAAAAACUUACAACAAAAAAACAAAUGUAUAGUACUUUUAAUUUUUAAAUGAUUAAAUAUAAAUUUUUAUGGUGGGAUUUUCUUAAAAAGACAAAAAAUAAAUUGUGGUCACGCAGAGGUCAUGACGGUUAUUUUGGACUUCUCUAGUAUGUUUAUAUAUAAGUUAUAAGCUUUUAAUUUGAAUUCCACUAAAGAACCUAAAACUAUAACCUAAAGUUCAAAUAAAAAAUACCGAGAAUAUAAAAUGUUGAUGUAAAUAAAUUAUAGGAUUUUUCGUGAAUUGGGUUGGUUGAUUAUUGACCAUUACACCAACUCAAUUCAACUAACCAAUUAAUGUAAAUAUUGAAAACCAUUAUUCAUCCAAUUCAAAUAAAACCUAGCGCUUAGCACAGCAAAAUAAAUAAUAAUAAUAUAAUAAUAAUAAUAAUAAUAAUAAUAAUAAUAAUAAAUGUGAAGAAUUGAAAUUAAGGCUAUGGUGUUACUCUUAGGAAGGGUGGCCCAAGUUUUGUUGGUCCUUUUCUAGGCUGCCCCAUGUGAAUAGGGAGGUUAACCCCCCACCCCACAUUCAUGUACUAUUUUUUCACUUUUCAUUUCAUUUCAUUUCAUUUAACACGUACAAUUUCCAUUCUCCGUGUAAAUUGCAUUUUUCAUUUCAUUAUUUCAAUUCCACCAAAUUAAAAAUGGUGUACGAAAUAAAUUCAAUGAUAUUAUAUAAAGUAGAUUUCAAAUACACUAGUGAAGGAAGACCUAUUUGCCACUAAAAUCCAAAAUAAAAUAAAAAUGUUGAGAAAUAAAAAAUAAAAUAAAUAAAUAAAUGAAGUGAUGAAUUGUAAAAUAAAUAUAUUUAUAUAAUAAAUGAAUAGUGGCCCAUAAUCCAAGCUGAUCAGGUGCUGCACCACUGCCCUCCGCCUGACGCUUCCUCACCUACAAGUAUUUAUACCACCCUCUCACUUUUCUUCUUUUACCAAAAUAUAAUUAAAUUUAUUAUAAAUAAAUUAAUUUCAAUUGGAUUUUCUAUUUAUACACUAUAAAAUAUUUAUUAUAUUUAAAAAGACUGUCUAAGAAAGUGGAACAAAUUAAAUAAGGUCAAAAAAGGAAUUGAUUAGUGGUCGGAAAACAUUUAAUUUUAGAAAUAAACAGGGGACCUCAUUAUCUCAAUGUUGUCUAAUCGCUAUACCCUGGGAAUGAGUUGUCAACAUAAAAAAAAAUUUAAUCAUUGUACUUAAGAAAGCCAUGGAACUAAAGUGCGAUUAUUGUUUUGGUCGAGAUAAUUAGUCAAACGUUUAAAUCGUUAAUGGUCCCGAGUAUGACACGUUUCAACUUAUGAGUGGCUUCACAUGUAUACUUUUAAUUUUGUUAUUUCUCCUGUCCAGUUAGACCUAUAUAAAUUAAUACGUUUGGGACUAUUAACAUUCUAUUAAUCUAGAAGAAUAUUAAACUAUUGCAUUAACAAUUUAACUAGCUUUCACCAAGUUGGGACGGAGGAGAAUAUUAAUUAGGUGAAAUUAAAUAAUUUAUCGAGGUUUUACUAUAAAUUUCUAACAUUUUUCUUAUUUGAAUAAAAAAUAAAUGGGUUUAAGGUAAAUGGAUAUGUAGCCGAAAUAUACGUGGGCCUCAUGUUAGUAUAAUGGGCCGUAUUUUGAGAAACAAUUUAACUAACGUGGCCAUAAAUCAAUUUAUCUAUUGAUUUAUUUUUAUGAAAUAUAUACCUAAAAUGAAAUUGUGAGAUUGUCUGCCGAAUUGGUGUGACAGCCCAUCAACUUGAAGAUUUCCAAAAAAAAUAAAAAAAAAUACACUAUAUAAAUACACUUGUGUUCCCUUGGUGCGAGUCAAAAUCCAUGUACCUUACAAACCACUUUGUCAUCAUCCGUACAAUUGGGAAUAUAUAUAAAUAUGAUUAAAAAAAAUAUUAAUUCGUGGUGUCAACAAUAUUUAUUUUUUUCAUCAGUAAUAGUUCAUUAUUAUUGUGACUAUUUUUUUGGGGUCACUAUAUAAUACGUGUUGUCCGUACUGAAAUCUAGUGUUUGUUAAUUCAACUAACUCUCUCAAACUGUGCACAAUUGUUUUAAGCAAUUAUUACACAUUACACAAAACAUCCUAAUUCAGGAAUUAAAGAGACAGAUGGUCACGUUUGAAGAAAUUAUUGCUUAAUUACAUUCACGGAAGAUAGCAGCAGCUUCUUUAUUAAUGGAAACACCACUGCUUUAUAGAGAUUACAAAGACUCGUAACACUAGGAGAAAUCUCUUUCUCUUUAAUUUAUUUUUCCCCAUUUUUAUCUCCUUUUCUUAAUAAAAUUAUCCUUUCUCUUAAUUUUAUUUUUUAAUUAUCACAAUGUAACCUUUGUUAGUUAGAUCAGUUGACAAUAAUGCGAGAGGUCAAAAUUGGAUUAGACACCAUAUAACAUCAACGUACGUCUCACAUUCCAUUUCCAGCAAAUAAAACAUUCUUAUAUUAUUAAAAAUAAAAUUAAAAAAAACAAAAGGUACGUUGAGAUAUAUUGAAUCACUAACUCAUGAGUAGUACUGUUAUAUAUAUAUAGUGUAAUAAAUAAAUUAAUCUCCAUCAACAACAGUAUAAUUAACCCAACCCAGAAAUCCAUUAACCCAGAAAUUCACAACUGGUUUGCACUUUGUAAUUUCUUCUCAACUUGCCCUAAAAUUAUUCAGACAAAUUAUUCUUAAUUACUCUAAAAUUUUCACAGUAGUACAGCAAGGCAACACGUAUAUAUAAAUCUAUAUAAAUGGAAUCAGUAUCACCAUUUCAUGCAUAUGGAAUAUUAAUAAUAUAUAUAUAUAUAUAUACAAUGUCGUCGUCGCAAUCUACUGGAGGAAGCGGCGGCGGCAGGGUUUCCGGGCGACACCCGAUUUACCGGGGAGUGAGGCGGAGGAAGAGCAGCGGGAAAUGGGUAUCCGAGAUUCGGGAGCCGCGGACGCCGAACAGGGUGUGGCUGGGCACAUUCCCCACCCCUGAAAUGGCGGCUGUUGCAUAUGACGUGGCGGCGCUGGCUCUUAAGGGCACGGAAGCGAAACUCAACUUUCCCAAUUCAGCUUCUUCUCAUCCCGUUCCUGCUUCCACGUCACCGCAGGAUAUUCAGGCUGCAGCCGCCGGCGCGGCUGCUGCGGCUGGGGCCGCCGGAGAUGCUAUCUUCGGCCGGAAUAAUAAUAUACCCGAAACUGAUGAGGUGGCGGCGGCGGCACGGUCUCAUGAAGAAAUAUUCCCGGGAUGGAAUAUUGAUCAUGAUGAAGAGUUUGUUGACGAGGAUUUGAUAUUUGAUAUGCCUAAUGUUCUUGUGAACAUGGCUCAAGGAAUGAUGAUUAGCCCACCGCGCCUGGGUCCUUCUGAUCAUAAUUAUUAUGGCGAUAAUCAUGUGGAUUAUUAUGAUAAUGAUGAUCAUAACCUCUGGAAUUAUCCCUAAUUAAUUAAAUGCGCACUGCACGUACCAUACCUAAACGUACUUAAUUAUACGUCUAGCUAGUUCGAACAAUAUUGUUUUUUUCAAUAAAUUAUAAGCUAGUAAUUAAUCUCUGUUGGAAGAUUGACUACGUGUGUGGACUGUGGAGUUCUGGUUAAUUAAUUAUAUAUAUAAAUAAAUAUAUAUAUAUAUAUUUGAUAAUCAAAUAUAAUUAUGAAAGUAUAUAUGAGUGUAUUGCAAGUUCAUUAGAUAGUUAUUGUUGCUUGUAAUAUAAGAUUUCCUGCCUCUUCUCAUAUGUUCUUUGCCUUGAUAAGUUUUAUUAAUUGCACCUAAUCCACCUCAAAUAUUUAUAAAACCUUUCAGUAUGUAUUCUAGGGUUUGUUCAAUGCUACAUUCAUUGAACAUAAUCGGAUUACAUAUAUACACCCAUACAUAUUUUACCGCCAUGCACGUACAAUAUGUAUAUAUAUGCAUGUAUGUGUGUAUAAAAUGUGGAAAAACUACCUAUCGUGACUCAUUAAUUUGGUGUAACAUCUUGUAAACCUAUUUUGAUUCUAGCAUGUUUCCUCACCCAAAAUAAUCAUAUAAUUAAGUUGAGUAAAAUAUAUAGCUUUAUCAUAUAGUUAUCUAAUUAGAUUACUAUCGAGAAUUAAUUCGUUGAUCGCUUUUGUUGCAUCAACGAAUCAUGAUAUAACUAGAUUAACCAAGUAUUUAAUUGAGUUUUGACUAAAACGAAAAAUUAAGCUAUCGGGCUAUGUUAUAAUUAAUUAGUUUAGUCAAUUUAGGAAUUAUUUAAUCAUUGAUUUUCCUAGGGUUUUUUUAACAACUGUUACAUUGAGUUCUGUGUUUCUUUUCUUACUUUCUGUUAACUCUCUCAUUCAUCGGUAUCUUUUGAUUCUUUUAACUAUUUCAGAAAUCGCGCAAUUAGUAUGACGAACAUGUAGCGAUUGGAGCUUGACCGUCGGCCACUGAAUUUUUUUUAAUCAAAAAAUGAAGUGUCAUUUCCGACCGAUUCAAAAUAAAAUGUGACUAAUAAGCUUAGCUACUAGAAUAUUUAAUUUAACACAACGUAAGUGUUCAUAUUUAAUUUAGUUACCAAUAUACAUUUAAGUUUCUACUACAGUAGUUAAUAUUCUUCUUCCUUUACAUCAGAAGAUUAUGUGAAUUAAAAACUGCCCUCUUUAAAUUUCUUUUUCAAAUUAUAGUUUUAAUUGAGUCGAACAAUAAAGUGUUUAAAUUGACUCGAAUAAAAACGAGUUUUUGCAAGUAACAAAAGAAUUCCCCCAGAAACUACGCUUUGUGGAAGAUCGCAUCUGGGCCAUGUAGUGCAACAGUGUGUAUAAGGUAGCAAUAAUUUUGGUGGAGUAGGUAAUUAGUGAUAAUUAGAGAUUAAGCAAAAGAAAGUUAGCGUAAUAAUCAUGUCUUUUGACUCGCUAAUACGUUGAUAAUUAAGUCUCAACUGUUCAUGGAGAAGAUGACAUCAACGAUUGCUGCCUUUUGACAGUUGAAAGAGCAAAUUAAAUAGGUGGUUACAGCCACACUAACUAGUAAUUAUUUUUUUUCUUAUAAUCAAUUAUAAUUACAAGAAAUUUAAUUGGUCCCAUAAUCAUCUUAGCUUCUAGCUACUUGCUGGCAAGGCCCAUAAGAUACACAAGCUCUAUUUAAUUUUUUUUUUUUUAUAAAAAAAUAAAAUAAAUCUAAUACAUAAAUGUACAUAGUCAGGUAAACAGAACUCUCGUGUAAUAACUCGUAAAUAAAAUUAGACGUGUAGCACUUGACAAAACCUUAUAGAUUUUUAGUUUCUUUGAUUGUUGAAGAACUAUCAAAAUAUAGUCGAAUAUAUGAAUUAAACAAAAAGUUAAAUGAUUAAAUAAGGAUUUUCAUUUCCACAUGUAUUAUUAUUAUUAUUUUUUUAUAUAGACAUACAUGAUUAAAUAUUAAUAAAUAAAAAAAAUAAAUAAAUGGUAUUGCAAUUUUGCCUAUUGUUGCCCUUCCUCCUUGACAACUCCUAAGCCAAUAACAUUUACAGUCUUCACUCUGAAUCUCUCAAGUCUUUGUUCUUCCCCCUCCGCCUCCGAUGUAAACAUAUCCUCACUUACUCCUCUAUCCGACGUCGUUUUAUCCUUCUCUCCACCUGCCUCUGAUUUUCCGAUCAACUUUUCCAGCUUAUCUGAAGCAGCUGCAGGCUUUUCCCCAAAAUCAUGUAAGUUUUCUCUUAUUAAUCUUUUAAUUGGAACUGGAAUAUUCUUAUUGGAAACAAAAUUCUCCAACAGUUCGUGCCCUUUCACAUUGAAUAUGUUUUCUUCUUUUGAUUCAUGAACUGUGGUCGUACAAUGUUUUUGAAGAGUAUGAAGCCCAUCCAAGAAAUCGAUUUCUCUGUGAUCCCGAAAGUGAUGGUGAAUCGAGUUCAAAACCCCACCCAACAUUUUCACGUCUUGAUUUUUUUGCUGAGAGAACGGAGAUUUUGUGUUGAUUGGUUGAAACUUGAAGAUGUAGAGAAUGUGUUUGUGUAUUUGUCUGAAUGAAAAAUGAGGAGUUGGAUUAUGGUAUAUAUAGAUAGAUAAACAAUCCCUUGACCUGUUAAUGCAGAUUAGUUUGACUAAUCAACCUUUGUAAACAUCAUUUAUUUAUUUAUUCAAAUUUAUUGAUUCUUCUUUGUCUGUGGAGACUUUUUCAAUGGUCAAAGUUGCUCAACCGGAGAGGGCUUCUUCUCUCUCACGUUGUGAGCUAUUUUUUUUUUAACUCAAUUUGCAGCCAACUUGAAUUGAUUAUAUUGUUGUUAAAAUGUUAAUCACUAUCAAAUUACGUAGUAAUACACCUUUGAAUUAUGAUUACCACCAAGGUUAGGCGUAUAUAACCAUAUGGGAUUCUAAUUUUGAAUGUCAGUCAGUGUUUUGGGAUUUGACCUUUCAAAAAACCAAAAAUAAAAAUAAAAGAGGGAGGGGGUGGGGGUGGGGUUGGGUAGUUGGGGGAGGCGGCGCAAAACUCAUUUAUGUUUUUUAGUCGCCAAAAAGUCAUGUAUGUUAUUGUUUUGGGUAAAUCACUAUCAACCCUUUUAGGUUUAGGUUAAGUCAAAUUACGAAAAACUACUCAUGUUUGAGUAAUUAUACUUACUCUCCUAAAUUAUGAAUCUUCUUAAACGUCGACCUUUGCGGUGUCAAAUUUAGUGGAAUCUUCUAGAUUAUAUGGAAUAUUCUCCAAUUAUUACUCAUUUUACUAUAUUCGAGCUCCACAUUUUUUAAACAAGAUAAUUAUAAGAUAUGUCUCUUAACAUGUAAACAUCAGAUUGUGAUGCAUAAUAAACAACAUUUUUGCAUAAAACGGGUACAAACUAGAGAUUAUUCCACGGAAUCUAGAAGAUUAUGUUGAAUUUGACCCAAUAAGGGUGGACGUGAAAAAAUGUCAUAGUUGAAGGGUAGUUGUAAUUACCCAAACAUGUGUGGGUUUUCGUAAUUUGAUCUUACCUCAUGCAAUAGUCCCUAAUUUACCCUAUUCUUUUUGAUAUUUUUUGGAUUUUUUUUAUAUGUUAUUAAAGGGCAUAUGUGUCAUCUUAAUCUAAAAAUCGUAGUUAGAGUACGAAAUUCCGCAAUUAAACAUACGAUGGCAAUAUAUUUUAGUACAUUCAAAUUUAUACAAAUACAAAUAAUAAAAUGAGUUCUGUUAACAAUCACAAUAAACAUGGGGGUGUAAAAUACAAAAAAUCCCCUGCUCCUCUCUGUAAGACAUUUAUUUCCCGCGUAAAUCACAACACAAACCAAGACUCCAACUAUUACAAUUUACAACAAAAGGGUGAAUCAAAAAGAGAGUAUAUUUCAUUCACACAAAUAAACACAUCGAAAAAUCGAAAAACAAAUUAGUACCGAUUCAUUCCUACGCCGCCGGGCGAACAUAACCCAAGAUCGUAAAAUAUGUCUGAGCCACAGUAAGAAGCAAAAGAACUAAAGCAGCCAACGCUGAAAUAAAAGACCACGGCGUAUUGAAAUAAGUGUACUUAAAACUCGCCAAAUGCACAUGCCAAUGGUUCUUGUAGUAAUUGUUCACCUCAUUAAACUCCUCCGUCAGAUAACACAUAUCGAUAUCGAACGUGACAUCCUUCCCCAUGUUGUUGAUAAACCUCGCUAUUUCAGCAUCCGUCCCGAAGUAAUUCUCGAGAAUAUUCUUAUCGCACAAAUACUCGACGUCUUUUGCGGUGUUGAUCAGGCAAUCCAACAGCGUCGCGUACGUCGUCAAAUGCUUGGAGCAGUCCCUGUGGCACUGCUCGUACGCCACGCAGUUCAGCAGAAACGAGCUCAUGAAAUCGUCGAUCGCUAUGGUCGGCAUUUCGAUGACUCCGUUCCUGAAUUUCACGACUAGAAAGUUUUCGGAGUUUCCGGGCUGUAGAUGGAUGCCGGCUUUCCUGAGCUUCGAAAUGCAUUGGAUGACGUGGGUGUUCGGGUAACGGGUUUGCUUCGGCUCUCUGUAGCCUUCUGGAAUGAAACUCGAACGGAGCAAAUCGAGCAAGUGUUUUCCGGUGAUUUCGCCUAAUUUGUGGACGAAUUCGUCGGAUCUUUGGAGGGCGUUGUUGAAGAAUGUGAGGGUUAAAUUGGAUAGGGAGGGGCCGGAUUGUUCGGAGGGCAUUAUCGUCAUAUCGAACAAGCGUUGGAGAACGAAAAAGGGGAUCUGGUUUUCGAGUCGGAUCAAAUCCCUAAGAAAAAACGGGUAGACCCACGACAUCGAAAGCAGGGGGUCGUCGGCUUCAAAUGCAACAACGCCGCCGAAUUUUCUGAAAAGCUCGACGACGAAGCAGCCAUCGAGAACCAGCAAUUCGGUGAAUUCGUGGACGGUGAAAUUGAUGGCGGUGGAGUAGCACUCCCUGGCUUUGGAUUCGAGUGGCUGAACGGAUUUCAAUAGAUCCUCCAGAACCAAGGGUUUGGUUCGGGUUCGUUUGAGGAGAGAGCCGAGGAAUCGCCACUUGUGCUCUUCGAUCAUUUUGAGGUUGGGUUUGCCGUGGUGGAAAGGGCCGACGGAGACGAUGUGGGGCUGGUAGCAGCGGCCGUUGAUGUCGAUCAGGCUUUGGGGGACUCUGAAGAUUGAGCAAGUGCUCCGGCCGGCGGAUCUACUCAGUAUCUGCGGCGAGUCGGCGAUUUUCUGCUGCAUAGAAGUCAGUCUGUCGACGUUGACUUGCCAGAUUCCGGCGGGGCGGUCGCCGGCGGUUUCAAUUUCUCCAGCAGAACUGCUGCCCAUAUCGACAAAAAAAGAAAAAGGAAUAUUCCGUGAAGAUUGGAAAGUGGAAUAUUCGGUUCACGUGAAAGUAAUCAUUUUCAUUCGUUCAUUCAUUGAAGAAAGAGAAGAGUGGAGGGGAGAAGUUUGUAAACAAUGGAGAUUUUUGUAUUAUUUUAGCUUACAUAUCUCUGUCGCUGUCAAAGAGCCAAACUAUGAUGACAAUUCAGUCACUAAUUAUUACUAACUCCCUGUUUUUACUGUUUUACCCUUUUGUUUCAUCAAAUUCAAGAACCAAGCAAAUUUCUUCUUGACUAUAGAAAUUGGAACGAAAUUUUCAAUUUCCGUCGAUUUUGAUUUCAAAGCAAAUUAGUAACCCACAAAAGAUCAUUUUCAUAAAGCAAAAAUAUAGACGCACUCCUAUGAACGUGGAAAAUCUAUCGGAUUGGUCGAUUCGAGUAGAAAUUGUAAGGUCAUCCAUAACUGUUUAGUUAAAACAAGAAUUCAUUUUGACUAAACCAUCUAGUUUCCUUUGAUUAUUGCGGGGCAUAUCUCAUUUCAAGAUUUAUCGACUGACUUGACCGGGAUUCUAUUUCCAAUCUACUUCCGGUUUACAACAUAUAUGUUCCGCUUAGACUCUCUUGAACAAUAUUUAUUUUUCAAUUUUUCCCCCACAUUUAAAAAUUUCGACACAUGCAUGUCGAAAAAACACAAAAAAUCGACAUGUAUGGUAAUAAAAAUGGGAACAUAUUUAAAAAAAAAAAAACUUGAAAAAUCGACAAGCUCAAAAAAACAUAAAUGGAUACCUUAAUAGGUUCUCCUACCAUGUAAACUACUAUUUUGUUCGUGAGCGGUGAUGGAAGGUGUGUAAAGGAGCCGACCUCGCCUGUUUUCAAAGGCUGGAGUUCGAGCUCGAGCUCGACUAUUAGUACUCAAAAAAUAGUCGUACUCAAAAAACCCAAGCUUGAGUAAAAGCUUUUGUCGAGUAAACGAGCCGGCUCAGCUCGUUUACCACAGCUAGGCGAUGGGCGACAGUAGACGGGUCUUCGACUAAUGAAAAUAAUGAAAAUGUUUUUUUUGAUUUUUCUUAAUGCCAAGAAAGGAAAAUAAAACAACAAUGACAUAGGCCCAAUAAAAGAAAAGUAGGAGGCCACAAUUGGAUUAAUGGAUCAAGAAUAGGGGCGUGAGCACUUGUCUCUGAUCUUGAUGGGCCAUUAGUCCAUCCGUACAAUUGGACCCCAACUCUACAAGAAUCAUUCAUAUAUAUAUUAUUUGCAAUUAAUUAAUUUUGUUGUUCAUCCAUGUAGUAAUACAAACUCCUCUGAGCACAAUUCUUCCACCAACACUUCAAAAAUUGCUAACUCCAGAUCUGCCGCCGUCUCUGCCACCUGCUCCGUAAAGCAUUUCCACCCAUCUAACUCUCUCUUGAAAUCCAACUCGAUUAUCUCAUCAGUUAGUUUGCGAUGCGAAAUUUUGUUAUCGUGUUUAUGAAGGGUUGAACAUUGGCUGAAAACUUGGUUGUUGACAAAUGAUGUGUCUGCUACACAUUGUUUCCUGUACAGUGUCGACAAUUGCGUCUCUUCUUUCGCGGAUUCUACGGUUUGUUCUUCGUAUUCAUCGUCUUCGUCUGAAGUUUCCAGAAAGUUCUUCUCGAGCUCGAUUGGAUCAAGUUCUGCUAGUUUUUCAAACCUUCUAAGCCUGUCCAGAAGCUGCUGCCUUGCUCCUGUACAUCAUUUAGACCACAACAACAUUUCAUUGGAUCCAAUAUUAUUAUUAUUAUUAUUCAUGAUUAUAAUUCCGAUUUUCAUUUUUUUUGGGGUCCUUUUGGAACGGAAUUAGAAUUAAUCUUUCAUUUAAAACAAUGGAAAAUCGUGAUUUCGAUAAAAUCCGUCCGAUUAAUUGUCACCCUAAAUCGUUCCACGACUCCACAAAGUGUUAAAUAAGAUGAAGGUUAAUUAAUGAUGAACAGACAGAUAAUUAAAGAUUGAAAUUUUGAAAUUAAGACAAGAAACAUUAUAGGAGUGAGAAUUAAUACAGAUCAUAAUUUUGAAAAAAUAUUCAAUUUUGCGAAAUUAAAUUCCACCAACUUAAUUAUUGUGGGCCGUACAUAAUUUAUUGAAAAUCUUAUCAUAUAUUACCUUCCAGGCGACAAAAUGAGAUCACAUUCAAGACAAGACUGAUGUGCAAGUUAUAACUACAUGAUUACUAAAUUAGUAAAUUAUAUAUAUAAAUUAGAAAUAUUAUAUAUAUAUAUAUAUAUAUAUAUGAUGAAUGCAUGCAUGCCUUGUGAUCAGUAUCAUAAAUCCUACUACUACUACAUGCAUAUUAUGUGGAGCACAGUUGAUUAAACUUAUAUUGGAUGGAACUAAUUAAUUAAUAUAUAUAAUUAUUAAUUACGUACUUUGAAUAUUCGCGUAGCUUCUGUCGAGAUCGUAAUCUUCGUCUGCAUCGACGCUUUCAUGUUCAUCGUCAUCUUCCGAGAAAGGAUCUAACACAGAUACUGGACUACAUUGUUCUUUUUCCUCUUCUACUGAAUCUUUUACCCCUGUGUAAUUUUCUUUCUCCUAUAUAUAUAAUAAUAAAAUAUUAACAAAAUAGAUAUAUAUAUCCGAAUUAAUUAGCAAUAUAAUAAAUAAUACUGUUAAGAUUAUUAAUACAGCAAUUUAAUUGGAAUAUAUGAGUGCUAAUAAUUUAUAACAUGGUGGUUACUACGUCAGUAAUCAUCAUUAGAAUCCAAGGAGGACUAAAUAAAAUUUAAUUUUGUUCUUUUGUGGGAAAUUAAUUAUAUGCCGGGACAAAAAAUUAUCUUUAAUAAUAAAUAAAAUAAAAUAAAGAUUUUCUGAUACCUAAAAAAUUCAGGAAAAAACAAAGGGUAUCUUGAAUUCUUGAUCUGUUGUAUUAUUGGUGGAAUUGAAGCCAAAAAUGUAGGGUAAAAUAGUAUAUUCCUAUACCGACAGCAUAAGCGAGUCACAAAGGAAAUACGUAUUUCACCCAAUCAAUCAUAAUUUACCAACAACGUAAAACGACGCCGUUUGAAUUAAAUAAGGGGGUGGGAGAAAAAGACAAAACCUUAUUUACGUGGCCAAUCGGAGAAACCACCGGAGAACAGCUAUCCGGCGUUAGAUGGCCGGAGGACGACGACGGAGUUUUGCGAGGAGAAAAUCUGAACGGGGUUGAGCAAAAUCGCGUUUCUCGAAUAGCCUCUUCUCUCGGUUCAUGGCUUCUCAUGCCACGCUUUUUAUUCUUGCUCCGAUCUUUCAGGAUUUUCAGAAAAGACCCAAAAAACCCUAACCCAGCGAUUUUCAUCGCCGGCGAUUUAGGAAGUUCUGACUGCUCGUGUUUUUGGAUCCUCAGAAGGAAAACGGCGCCGGUGGGCGGGGACUUAGACGGGCUGAUCUCCGGCGAUGUUCUGAUUUCCGGCGUGAAGAAACAGAGGUUGGUCUGUUUAUUCAAUUGGGAGCGCCUCUCUGCAAUAUAGGUAUGCAAUUGAAAAGGCUCCUGAGCUUCUUCCAGUAGCUCAUGCAGCAAGUACUGUUUAUGAGUCAUCAUCACAAACAAUUAUGGACUGCAAAGUAUAAUUAUAUAUAAAGUUGGGGGGAAAAUAUGAAAUUAUUUUGAAAUAUGUGAAUUUGAGGAUCGCAGGGGUUUGAAAGUGGGAAAGAAGCUCUGAAUACUACUAAAAGUGAUGGCGAGAAAGAAUGAGAGAGAAAGAGCCUCAUGUAUUAUUAUAUGGGGAAAAUACAGUUUUCGCCCCCUCAAACUUGCACAAAUUACACAUUUGGUCCCUUAUGUUUAGAAAAAUAAAUACUUGUGGUCUUUUCCGUCAAUUUUCCGUUAGUACUAAUGGAAUAGCUUGUGCGCGUCACUGCCUUAACUGAAGGAAUAACGGUAAAUUGACGGAAAAGACCACAAGUGUUGAAUUACUGAAACAUGAGGGACUAAAUGUAUUUUUUUUGAACAUGGAGGACCAAGUGUAUAAUCAGUUCAAACUUGAGGGGUUAAAAUUGUAAUUUUCCCAAUAUUAUAUAGACCUUCCGAAAUUAAAAAUUGAAUUUAAACUCAUUGAGUUAUAUUUUUAUUUGAAUUAAAAUACAUUUUUAAUUAUUAAAAAAAUGAACCAAUUAGUAUGAAGAGUUUGUUAAGGUAUGGUGAAAUGCAUGCAUGCGUGAAGAGGGCCGCUCCCACUAUCAUAUGACAAGGCCCGUACAAAUUACUGUCCAUUUACUACUAACUUUAAUUCAAAACCCAAAAGACAUUUAACCCCAUUUCCUAUGUCCAACUGUCAGAGUCAUCAAUAUUUAUGAGGUACAAAAAUCUUUUCUGAUUUGAGUUGUACCAUUUCAAAAUUGUGUAGAUUUGAGUUGUACCAUUUGUAAUUGAUCAAGAUUGCAAGAAAUUUUGAAAUUUUGGAUUUUGAAAAAGUAUGGAGUUAGGUAUGGUGUUGCCUACAAUCUUGAUCGCCUUUUUUACAAAUUAAUUAAAUAUAAGUCGGAUUUAUAUUAUUAUUUCCAUGAAAGAUGUCAACGAAACAAUGUAUAUAAAGGAACUCAAGUCAAUAGUUCAGUGAAGGUACCACUAAAGGGUCAAAGUCGGCCAUGUACAAAACGACAUUUUGAUACACGGUUGAUAGGGAGUUUCAGAGCAUUAUGGAUAAACGAGACAUAAAAGAGAAUGUAGGGUUCUAAACGAGAGAUAAGAGAGAUAAAUUAGAUAGUAUUUAUGUGAGAGAAAGAACGGAUAAGUUUACAUAACAUUGAUCAAACGGAUGAGAUCAGAUUACGAAUCCUUCCACUAACUUGGACUCGCAAAAAACACAAACGGGCUUCUCUAGUAGUGGCAUAAGUAAAUGGGCUUCACUGGCCCAUCAAUCCAAUGAGUAACUACAAAUUGUAUUUUCCCUGAUUUUUAAAAGCUAUGGGGGAAUAUGCCAAAAAAAUGAUUAUCCAUUUACACACCAUAUUAAGGAGAACAAAAGAACAAGAAAAUAAAAGGGUCUUUUUUAAAAGAAAAAUUAAAAUAUCUAAUUACGGAAAAAUCCACAAAAAAUAGGCUUAGUAUUGUUAACUCAUUGGACUGAAUUUUAAUUCAUAGCUACCCACUCCAAUUGCUUAUUCCGAAAAUUCUUCAUUCAAAACAUAUGGGCUGGGCCCAUUAUUCACAUCCAUUUACCCAAUUAUUAUUAUUAUUAUUAUUAUUAUUAUUAUUAUUAUUAUUAUUAUUAUUAUUAUUAUUAUUGGCAUUUGGCAACCAAAAAGGUAGCUUCACAUGUCUGUGUAUAUAGCAAGUCUUCUCAACUAGUAUGUGUAAUAGAAUAAUAAUAAAAAUAAAAUUUGCUCUAACUGUACAUGUCAGAGAUUUUUAUUCAGAACAAGUGUCAGAGAGCAGAUGCCAAAGUGGUCCCCACUCCUUUGUCGCUUUUCGUUUCCAUUGUUUUACUCCCAAACUCACACUCAUACACUAUUAUUUUGUAUAUAUAUAUAUUUAUUAUAUUUUCUCAGAAAAUAAAAUUAAAAAUAAAAGUAUAUAAUAGUAAAAAGAAAAUAUUGGUACGAAUUUUGGGAUUGAAGGGGCCGGUAGUAUUAUUUGUUACUAUUUGGUAGUAUUGAAAAGGAAAAAAAGGUUGUGGUGGACUGGUGGUGGUGGUGGUGGUGGUGGUAGCUGCAGCACGCCGGCACGCGACACGAUUAUCCGAUGUAAUCUCUCACGUGUCUUCAUGUGACUUAUUUGAUCGAGGUUUUUGUCUCAGUUUUAUUUUAUUUCUAUUUAUAUUUUCUCCUUCAUUAUUUUCAUUUUUUUGGUUAUAAAUAAAUAAAUUGAAAAGCAAAAAUAUCUGUAAUAAAAAAAUGAAUUGUCAAGUCAAGAAGAAAACGGUAGUUAGGUGGGUCAGAUGGACAGUCGGACCGAACCGAGUCAUCACUUAAUUUUGGAAAAGUAUUUGUCUAAAUCAGCCACCCACCUUCAUUUUCUGACACUCUAUCAGGUUUUUGGAUCCGCAUUCAUUCCCCUCUUCUCAAUUUACCAUAUUACCCCUCGGUGGAAUUUUUUUGACAAAUUAGUGGACCUUAUUUAUUGCAUUUAUUACCCCUUGUGAAAGUCACAAUUGUACAUUUGCCCUUCUCAUAAAAAAAAACUAGCAAAUACCUCCUUAUGCUUAUUUUUAGACGUCACAUUUGACCCAUUUAUCUUUUUUCCGUUGAUCAGUCGUGAAAAGACCAAGAUACAUAGUGGAUGUUUUUGCAAAAAUAAAAGCACAUUCUAUAAACUCAUAAGUUUUAAAACUAAGGGAUCAAAUUGAAUUUCUAAAAAGUUGUAUAUAUUGAAAGAGGUUAAAUUACAAUUUUCAAAACAAUAAUUAAAGAAAAGGGCAAAUUGCACUUCACCCUUUCAAAAAAAAAAAUGAGGCUGACCCCCUUUAAAAUAUACAACUCAGGGUACUUUGUCCGAAAUAUGUAUUUUUUGUCUAAUUCUCACAAAAUAUACAGACAUUACCAUUACAUUGUUGUAAAUACAGACAUCAUCUUAUAUACUAGUGAUUUACUAAAGAAGAGAAAUAAAAAGUAGAAGAAGAAAAAAACAUCUUAUCUAAUUAAAACACUUCCCAAGUAAUUAACUACCAGUUAAUUAUGAAACUAGAGGUAAUUAGCAGAAAAUUAGAGCAUAAAGCAAAUGGUGAAGAUUAAGUUGCGAUUAUGAUAUUGUCGUAACAUGUGGAGGCACACAAACCAUACUUUAUUUUACCCAAUGCACAUGAUUCUUCUUAUCUCUGAGAAUAACACCUAGAGGAAGAACCAAUUUCUUUUUUAAUUAAAUAAUUAUAUUUAUUUAAUUGACUGGACCAAUCUAGAAUAUAUUGGUAACUGUAAUAACAUAUUUAUAAAUAUAAUUAAUUAUAUAGUUAUCUUGGGAAAGUAGUGGCAGUAAUUAAGUUGGAGGGUGCCUGUCAAAACCAAUAUUCCAGUUUUAAAGAACCCUAAUUGCAUUGCAUGUGUCAACUUAUAAACAACACUUUUAUAUAUGCUCAUGUAUUUCUAUUAUAUAUUAUUAUUAUUUUAUAAGUGUAUAUAUAUAAAUAAAUAAAAUUGAAAAGGGUAAAGAGAAAUGAUUUUGUGAUGUAGUAAAAUGAAAGUGAGAAUAUCUUUUGUGAUCAGUUUGCAGCUGAUGAAAAAUGAAUAAUAGACAAUUUCUGUGGUUUUGGCUGAAAUGGAAUUUAGUAUUGUCAGCUCUUUUUUUCUUUUUUUCUCAUGAAUUAUUUUGACUUUUAGUGUACAUAUACAACAAGUAAAAUUUUAAUAUAUAUAAUAUAAUUGGUUCACUGGGGAAACCCUAGUUGGUAGCAGCUGCUUUAUUUAUAAUGUACUAUUCCCAAAGCUGCAGAAACACAGUCUUACCCCCCACACUUGGGCCUUUAUUAUUACUACUCUCUUUCUAUUUUAUUAUUUAUUAUUUUCCUUUUUUUAAAAAAAAAUAAUAUAUUUCUGAACUGUCUUGUCUGAGUGUCUUUCCUUUUAUCUUUCUCAAGUGCUCUGUGCUUAUCCCAGUCGUUAGUCACUGUUCCUAUGAAUUAAAUCAUACAUUAUUGCUAACGGUCGCUAGGUCGAGUUUGUCACACAUGGUUAGCCUAGUGUGGUUUACAUCUCUCGUAUGGUUUGCAAGCUAUUAUACGAGAGUGUAGGUUUACCCAGUGCACCUAUAUGGUUGGCUGCGGGUUCCUGCAUUACCAAAAAAAAAAAUUAAAAAAAAAAAAAAAAAUCAUACAUUAUUUCAAACAUUUUAUAUAUAUAUAUAUAAAAUAUAUAUGUAAUAAUAAAAGUGGUAAUUAAUAAGAAGUCAGUGUAAAAGACUUUUACCAACUGUGUCUUAACAUUGCUCAACACAAAGCAGAAACAGUUUCACAACACACUGCAACCAAGAAGCAUAACCACAGAAUACCAGGAGGCUCUGAUCCUUUGAUAUCUGCAACACUUAUUUUGCCCCCUAUGGACUUCAAUUUCAAGCAAUGGAGAAACCAUUCUGAACAACAAGAUGAUCAAGAAGACCUCCUACAUACAUCUUCUAAGCUACCUAAACUUCUCCUUAACUCCCACCCCCACCACCACCACCAGCCGCCGCCGCCUGCUUCUUCUUCUUCUUCUUCUGCACUGCCCUUAUUUGUUGUCACUGAGCCCAACACCAACUUGUCAGCAUCUUACUCUUCUGAUCAUAAUUCCACCACUACUACCAAAUUUCCCAGUAUAUAUCAUUAUAACCUCUCUCUCUCUCUCUCUCUCUCUCUCUGACACACUCACACACACACACACGCAAGCUAGCGUUUUUCCAGACAGUGUUUUUUACUUGCUUGGUUUUGUCAUUUGUUUUAUAGGGAUGGGGAGCAGCCAUUUCAGCUUGACACAGUGGCAAGAGCUUGAGCUUCAGGCACUGAUAUUCAGACAUAUGAUAGCCGGUGCUACUGUACCACCGGAGCUCCUCCAUCUUGUCAAGAAAAGUAUCAUCGUCAACUACCCACCUUCUUCUUACCACCACUAUUACCCCCAUUACCAGCCUGCCUGUAUGAUGUCAUAUAUUUUUUCUAAUUAAUUAAUUUUGAGAUGUGUUUGAUUUUGAUUUCAUUUCUUUUUUUAUGGUGGUGGAUGAUCAGUGCUGCAAUCUGGGUACUGGGGGAAAUCGGCGAUGGAUCCGGAGCCGGGCAGAUGCCGGCGCACCGACGGCAAGAAGUGGCGGUGCUCGAGGGACGUGGUGGCUGGCCACAAGUACUGCGAGCGCCACAUGCACCGUGGAAGAAACCGUUCAAGAAAGCCUGUGGAAAUCCCCACACCCAAAUCCAAUCAAGGAGCUGUGUCCGCCACCAGCACCGGCACCGGCGGCGGGUUCCCUCGUUUCACGCUCUCGGCGCCCUCCGAUCUUCUUCACCUCAACCAGAGGUAACUAAUUAGACAACACCACGUACCACAGCUAAAAAUUGGUUCUUUACACAUUAUCCAAUCACAACUGAUUAACCCACAAUUAGGGUUGUAUUAAUUAAAAUUAAAAGGGCAGGGGCAAAGUGUAAUUAAGCCUUGCUCCCCAAAAGGAAGAAAGUAACUAAAUCAUGAUCAAACUCCAAUCUAAUUGGUUUGAUAUGUUGAAACAACUUUUAUCAUUGUAUAAAAUGUUUGGAGGGGUCCUCUAAAUUCAAUUCACUGUGUCUGUGUCUGUGUCUGAAUUGGAGCGUAUAAUAUAUAGACCCACCAUUUGUCUUGGUGGUGGGCCCCCACCCCCGCUUCGAUAUUUUUUGAUUGUGCUCAAAUCUCAGAAUCAACCCCAACCAGCUGUUCUUGCUUCUCCCCCUAAUUAUUAAAGUUUUUAUUUUUUUUUCUUGCUCUAACUUUGGCAUUAAAAAGUGAUAUUUGUAGGCCUACAAACUCCAUUAUUGAGACAAAGGUCCACCUUCAACAAUCCCAAACCAAUAAUAAAACCCUUCGCCAUUUCUUCGACGACUGGCCGCCUAAACCACUCGGCCACGAGGAUGAUAACUCGAUGAUGACAUCAUCAUCGUCCACCAAGUUGUCUAUUUCGAUGCCCGAAAACCCGUCUUCGGAUUUCUCGUUGAAACUCGGCACCGGCGGCGAUGGUGGCGAGGCGGCAGGUGGCAAUCGUGUCAUUGUGGACGAGAAUAGUAGUAGUAGUAGUCGACUUAAUUGGGGGAUGAUGACGUGGCAGAAUAAUCCGGCCGCUCCUAUGGGCGGGCCCCUUGCCGAGGCGUUGAGGUCGUCGGUUUCGAACUCUUCGCCGACGAGCGUGCUGCAUCGGUUGCCACCUGGCGGUGCCUCCCAAUCUAGCUAUGUUUAGUUAGUUCCUAUAAAUGUUUUGCUUUUAUGAUCUAGCUUUUUGCAGUAUGUGAUUUCCCUUUCCUUAUCUGAACUUUUCUUUUAUUUUUAUUUUUACUAAUUUUUUUUCUUCAUUUCUUGCAAUCUUGUGAACUGUGAAAGUGUGACAGUGUGUAAAAUGUGGUGCUAUAAUUUUCAAUGAUGUUUUUUUUUUCUAUCUGAUGACAGCUGGCAGACAUGGCCGAUUCUCUAACAAGAACAAAAUAAUUAUUUUACCAGUAUUAGUUCCCUAACUAAAUAUGAAGAGCUAAAAAUCAGGACAAAAGCUUAUUCCUAAUUAUCUCCUCUGGAAAUUCAGAUACCUGAUUCCCAAAGCGAAGACUGUGCCAAAGAGGAGAAUGAAAACGAGAUGCAUGAUACCGAUAAUCGGAAGAAAAUGGUGUUCGAAACCUAGGUUUUCUUUAAGAUAAGACUUGACUGUCAUAAAACCAACACCAGGAACCUCCACUUGAGAAGUUAACUCACCGAUUUGAGACACCACCAUCCCGUAUAUCGUCCAUGCCACCGGUGUACCCCAGUAAUACCACCUCCACCAUAUCGGAAUUUGCUGCAACAAUCAAUCCAAAUAUAAUAUUUGUCACCUUCGUAAAUGGUGAUUAUGAUUAGGGGUGGAAAUGGGGCGGAUCGGAUCGGAAUUAGCAUUUUCAGAAGGAAAAAAAAUUUAGAUUUUUUUUUCAUAAAAUUCUAAAUUUUUGGUAACCUAAAAUAUAAAAUACAUAAUAAUUUUGAUAUUAAAAGUGUAAUUUUCCGGAAAAUGUUGGGAUUUUUGGAAUUAUUUUCAAAAAUUAAAAUCUGGUCCGAAAUUGGAAUCUGAUAAAUAUUCCAAAUCACAAUAAAAAAAAAUCGCAAAAAUAAAAAAAUCGAAAUUUUCUGAAUUCAAAAUACAAAAUAAUGUUACGAAAUGGGACAAUUUCUGAUUGGACUCAGCGUGAUCGGAAAUUCCGUUCCAAUUUUUUUCCCCUGAAUUGAUGAUUGAUGAUGUAAAGUGAGUUAGGUCAUGUUUGGCUGAAACAGAAACUUACCGUUCUAGGAAUGAGGAAACCCGAGAACAAGUUCCAUAAGCUGAGGAAGAAAGAUGCCAUGAUAGCGCCAACUUGGACACCGGGAGUUAGGGCAAUAAGCAUCAUACCGUACAAUGUGAGGUAAACGAAGCACGUGAAAAUGAAGUAGUAAAACCAAAGAAAUUUUCCAAUCCUCCAUUCAAAUCCAAUCAUUGAAUACAGAAUAAGUGCGUAAAUUACUGUCUGAGCUGCUAUGUAUAAUGUCUCUACCGCCACCUAUGCAGAAAGAUCCCAAAAAACAAAAAAACACGACGAAUAUGUUUACGAGAAUCAUUCCAACAUUUAAUCGAAGGAAAUUAAUAUGGGUACCUGAGAAAAUGCGUAAGGCAAAGCAGAGUACAUUCCAGCAGCUUUUUCACGAUAAAAAACCGUUCGCUCUAUCGCAACAACACCUUGUACAGAAGUACUAUUUGUGGCUCCGAGGAAUAUAACAGCAGCAUAAAUAGCUCCCAAAAGGUUUUGAAGAUCUUGUUGUUUUUCUCUGUUUUAUUAAUAGACAAAAAAUUUAGUCCGUCUCGAUUUCAUUUAAAAUAAAGAUAGGAAAUUUAGAAUCGAUCUUACAUCUUUUGUCCCUUGUUCCAGAAAAUGACACCGAAUAUAACACCAAUCGCAAUGGUGAUAAAGAAUCUAAUUGCGUUGUACUGUGGAUUCCUCCAAUAGGACCAAAACUGCUUCCAAAGACAAGCUUUACACUGGUUGAAAAAUGGUUGAGAAUAUUUCGUCGAGAAAUGGAGGUCGCUUGAACCUGGUGGAGGGGUGCUCAGUUCGUUUAUAAGUUCUUGAUUCCUCCUGAUGAUUUUUAUUUAAGACGAAUAUAAACUAUUAUUAUUCAUUAACAACAAAUAUGAACUCUAUUUUCAAGCUUCCUCUGUUUACGUACUGAUAAAGAGACGAGUUAGCGUAAAUAUCAGCAAAGUCAACCCCGAGUUGACUCUCAGCUGAUGGAGUGCUGACAUCCAGCAUCCAUGUAGCUGGAUUGUAACCAUGGUCAAUCUUGGGAACCCCAGGAAUAUCCUGGACACAUGAUAUAUAUAAAAAAUAAUAUAUUUAUUUAGUACAAAACAAACAUGUGUUUUUGAUGUCUAUAAAUAGACAAAGUUGAUAUAAAAAUAACUCACCUCGAAAUAUUCGACCAGUUUCUGAGACUGCCGGCCAAGUGGCCCCCCGUAAAUGACUCUCCCUCCUCUCUUCAUCAAUAGCAACUGCGGGCAAAGCUCGAUUAUUACAACUAACCAAAUUAGACCGUGAUUUAAUAGAAAGAGUAUUAACGACUUGAUUAAAGAUCCUUUACUUCGUCAAAAGCUUCGAAUAUAUCUAUGCUCGGUUGAUGAAUUGUACAGACCACGGUUCUGCCUGUAUCUACGGUACUUCUUACAGUACGCAUUACUAUAGCAGCAGCUCUUGCAUCAAGUCCAGAAGUUGGUUCGUCCAUGAAAAUAAUCGAUGGGUUAGCCACUAAUUCUACAGCAAUUGUUAGCCUCUUCCUCUGUUCAGUCGAAAGCCCAUCAAUUCCAGGUAGACCAACUAAUGAAUUUCUUAUCGGGUUCAGCUCAACUAAUUCCAUUACUUCUUCAACAAACAUCUUUUUAAAAAAAAGUUUAGAGGGUAAAAACGAAAAACAAGAAAAUGAAGUAGAAUGUAUAUGAUAGUGAUAUGAAUAAAUAGAUAGAUAACCUUUCUUGCGUCUUUCUUUACUUCUACCGAAAGGCGUAGCCAUGCAGAGUAAAGAACGGAUUCGUAAACUGUAACAUUAGGAGAAUGAAUAUCGUUUUGUUCACAGUAACCGCUUAUUCGAGCAAAUGUGUCCUGGUUUUUGGGAUAGCCUGAGAUGCUGAUGUGUCCUUCAAUGCUGCCACCUGUCUUUCUGCCAGCUAGGACAUCCAUUAAGGUUGUCUUUCCAGCCCCACUAACCCCGACGAGUGCUGUUAAUACUCCGGGCCUGAAUGCUCCGCUCACGUCUCGUAGUAGUUGGAGUUUAUCGCCUACAACUCCUGCUUUCAUUUCCUGUUUGAAAAAAAAUAAAAAAAUGUAACACCAAUAAAAAAUUUAGUCGUCUUGUUUAUAACUAUGAUUAUUGUAGAAAACGCGAAAGAAAAGAUGUACUUACUGCUGGCAUAUCCACGUAGUAGUUCAUGUGGUUGAAGACAAGUGACAGAGGCUGAAAUGGUAAUAGCAUUCCUUUUUUAGUUGUCUGAUUAUUACCAUCAUUGUCAUCGUUUAUUCCAGUCGUUUUUUUGUCGUCACCAUUGUCCAAUAUUAAAGUGUUUGAAUCACCCAAAGCUGAGAAUAGAUCAGCCUUUAUAUUCAGACAGAGAUCCCCGAGCUCAAUUUUUCGAAUUUAAUAACGAAAUACAAACUUACGUUUCAAGAAAGUGAGCGCUGCGAUAAAUAAAAUGUUGAAGACAAUUGAAAAUCCUAUGAGUGCACAAACACAAAUCCAGAACAUAUAGUCUUCUGUGUAGAAGCCCCUCGAUUGGAGGAGGACUUUCCCCACCGUUGGUUCAUUAAAUCGAGGAUCUGUAUUAGGCUGCACCGAAUAACAAAUACGGACUUUCAGAAAAAGUGAAAAUUCAUGAUUUAUUGGAUAAAUGAGAAACUUACAGCGCUCCAUCUCUUAUCAAGAAACUCAUUCAUGACAAUAGCAUUUUGACCGUAACUCAUCGGAGAAAUAUAAUAGGCCCAUUUCAACCAUGGCGCCAAGUCAUCUGCCAUCAAGAAAAGGGCAUGAAUAUAUCACCUUCAAAUAUAUAAAAAAAUAAUAAUAAUUAAGAAAUAAAAAAUCUAAAAUCUUACCUUUGGCAACUAUAAAACCACCAAGAACAAAAACCACAAGCAAAGUAAAAGUCCCUAAUGUGGUAGCAACAACCUGAGUUCUUCCAACUGCAGCAAGAAAUCGAAAAAGACCAAGAGCCAUCUGAUGUAUGCUAAAGAAUGCCAAGAACUGUCGGAAGAAUCUAGAACAUUUCCAUUCAAUUUUUUUUUAUAAUAAAAAUCAGUACAUUCCUAUGUCGAAAACUCAAAUUGCAAGAAGAAAACAUUUUUCGAUAUUUAGUUAUUUACCGUCCAGCAGCUGGGGCAAACCCGAUCGUGUAGUACGUGAGAACAAUCCAUAUAGUCGAUUCCAAUAUAGAUAGUGGGAUUCUCAGUAUCCAAAUAGGCAAACCAAAAGCCCAAGCAGGAUAAAACAAGAAAUCCCUCUGUUUAUAAAACACCGGCAAUCUAAAAACCGUCAUCGCAAGUUCAGCCAUCCCAUUAAACAUCACAUUUAUCAAACUGAAAAAAAGGGCGCCAAAAUAUUUCCCACCAUCAGUCAAUUCUCCAUAAGGCAUCUCUGUUCUGAAAAACACAGUAAAAGCAAUAACAGCCAUGAUAGUGAUCUGCGAGGUCUUGAAAAUGUAAACGAACGAGUUUCGUUUCAUAAGCAGCCAUUCACGAGAGAAGCAAGCUCGAAAAAGCUCCCAAUUCGAUAUCCCGUAUUUCUCUUUCACCAGAGCUGCUUUGUGGGCUUUGGAUUUAUCGUAACAAACACUGACUUCUUCGGCGAGCUUUUGUCCUAUGUGGAAAGAGUCGAAUGCUUCGGCGAAUUCUGAAACGGAGAUGUAUCUAUAUUGUAUGUCUUUGUUGUACCAGUACUGUUGCUGAUCCUUUCUUGACGUCACUUCUUGAAGAAAAUCUGCAACCCCUUUUCGAUCGGGGCAUUUGAACCCCGUUCGCUCGAAGAAUUCUAGAAUGUUCUCUUUCGGGCCUUGGUACACGAUUUGACCUUCCGAUAAUAAGAUGACAUCAUCGAAAAGGUUGUAUGUCUCCGGUGCUGGUUGGAGAAGAGAGAUAAUCAUUGUUACAUCCAUUACGUGGACCAUUUGUUUCAUGUAUUUCACGAUUUGGAAAGUGGUGGAACUGUCUAAACCCGUCGAGAUUUCGUCCAUGAAUAGAGCUUUUGCUGGCCCCACCAGCAUUUCCCCUGUAAUUACACAAAUAUAUAUUAAUCACAAAAAAAUAAUUUGUUUUUUUUUUUUGAUGAAAUAGAUACACUCAAAACGUGCAUAUAUAUAUUAUACCGGUGGUAACACGUUUCUUUUGUCCACCGGAAAUACCCCUUCUCAUAUCAUCACCAACCAUAGUAUCUGAGCAUAUGUCUAAACCAAGAACCUGUCAUUAAGUUCAUAAAUAAUUAAGGAGCAGCACACCAGAAUUUUUUUAAGGAAAAAAAUAGCAAUGUAAUAAUAAGACAAACCUUGAGAACAUAAUCUGUGACGAAACUCGUUUUUUGUCCUGAUAUUGACGUAGCUUUCAUGAAUGCAUCAAUUUCAGGAUCAGGGUUUAUCCCGGCUGUUUUUUCACGCCUCGAUAAUUCUGCCAGCAUGUCAUACCGUGAGCCCACGCCUAGACAACGGCCGGAGAAAUCGAGAGUCUCCCUCACAGUCAUCUCCCCGUGGUGAAGAUCGUGUUGACUUAUAUAAGCACAUGUUCUUUGAGGAACAAACUCACUAAACUCAUGCCCACAGUAAGUGAUUUUCCCUGAUUGCUGCAAUGAACUUGUUAUUAAACUAUAUGAAGAACAACUAGAAAUCGAAACAUAAAACAAAACAAAAACGGAAAACAAACCCUUAAAUUAUGAUCAAGCUUUCCAGCGAGUGAGAGUAGAAACGUCGUUUUUCCUGCACCGGGAGGACCCAAAAGCAGGGUGAUCCUAAUAGAUUUUGGUGUUCAUUGCAAAAUUAAUAUGGAAUUAAAUAUAUUAUUUUUUUUUAAAUCGGAGAAAUUGUUUAUACCUGGAUGGUUUGACAAUUCCAUUGGCAUCUUUGAGUAUCUGUAUCUUUCUCUUCUUGGAAGGGGCAAGCCGAAUUAGUGCUAGGAAGCUCUAUCAUUAUCCAACAAAAUUACAGAACCAGAAUCAGCAAAUUAAGAAGAUUUAUAUAUUGAUUACAUGAUAUUAACAAAAAUAAUUAAAUAUACCUCAAUUGAAUUAAUUGUGGCAUUAAUCAAAGUGGGCAGUGCUCUACUUCCCACAUGCACAUCUCCUUCCACUGCUAAAUGCUCGUACCUUAUUUCGAUUUUCGGCGUUUCAAUCCCCACUCUGCAAUUAAACCACAUUUUAUCAUGAAUUUUCACACACAGUAGCACACACACUGUGUUUUUUUUUUCUCUGGAGCAAUUCAUCGAUCACCUUUCGGCGCGGCUCCUAAUACUUCGUAGAAAGCUCUCGUUGUCCUGUUCGACGGCGUUAAGAAUAGUGUUCUUCAAAAGCCUCUUUUCGUCAACCCCAAGUUUUUUAACGUUAAUUUCAGUGGUUUUGACGGACCCAUCUUCGAGAACCUGAGUCAGCAUGCUCCUUCUCAACCGAUCGUAUGUGGGGAGCCGCUCAAUGGCGGCCCACCGCAGCUCCUCCUCGUCAUCCUCCUCUCUGCCGCCGCGGCUGAACACAUCCGCCGUCUGAUUCUGCUGCUGCUGCUGCCACAGAUCAUUUAAACUCCGGCGGCCACUCGCUGGUCUCGCCAGAUCAUCACCGCCCGAGGCCAUCGCCAAAACAGAGGCGAGAAAUAAUAUUUGAUCAUAGAUCGAUCAAGAAAUUGGUCUCUGUUUUUUUGCUGCGAUUAAGGCAGCUGAUAAUUUUUUGCAUGGGUGGCCACUAAAAUCUUUCCUAGACGAUGAUUGAAUGAGCGGCGGAGAUCUCAUGGAAGCUUCCACAUUCAUGCAACUAUACUUGCGAGUCUCUCUUGUAGUUUGUACUCAUUUUUUUGGGAAAUAUACUAUUUAUGACGCACCACAAGUUAAUAUUUACGAGGCAAGAGACAUAUCUUAUGAUUAUUUUGUUUCAAAAUAUGAAGCUCGAAUAGGGGUAAAAUGGAUAUUAACACCACAAGGAUGGACUGUAACAAGUUUCAUAGUUAAGGGUGAUUGUAAUUACGUACAUGAUGAUUCUUUUUGCAAUCCGAUAUGUUGCUAUUCCCGGGACAUUUGUUUGUAUGGUGCAACUCUCAUUUAGCAUUGGUGUAUGUGAUUAUGACAUUGGUAUAUGUGAAUAUAUACAAAUACGGAUAAAAAACAUCGGACGUAAAUAACCCGGUGUAGCAUAAAAUUUUCCUAAGAAGACCAAUUUUUUUUUUAACAUUGAUCUGUAUGAGGGUGAUGAAUUCAAAGUUUAUUUAUAUCUACCAAUUUAGAAUUUGGAACACUGGCAUCCAUCUUCCGGAUUUUUCAGUAUUUGAAAUACAGCGAACUAAGCGUAACGAUCAACACUUUCCAAUACUAAAUGGAAAAAUAACAAAAAAUUACCAAUUAUGUCUUAAUAGUAACAUGAAAUAGUUGUAAUAUCAUUGUUACACAUCAAGCAAGAGGCUAAUUUCAUUACAUUGCCAUUCCAAACGAAGAGAGUGCGAGAUAACGGAAGGUCACUGUCAUCAAGUUUUUAGCUUAGCACGAGUUGUCUUACCAAAUACUAGUCUAGAAAACGAGAAAGGUCAUACCCUUCUCGUAUUGUGGAUUGCAAAGACUCUUCUCGAAUUAGUUCACAAGUGUUUUAUAGAUACAAUCCCUUAAUCUCCGCUUGCACAACCCCCACAGCCACAGUGCACACAUUCUAUAACCUUCUCCUCUCGCAGAUGCUUUGGCACUCGGCAAACACAAGUCGUCUGAAAGUUAUGGUCCCUUGGCUGAAUGCACCUCAGACAGCACAGCCUUUCAUAACCAGGCUGCAUCAAUUCAAACACACAAACAUGAGAAAACUACAAACACAAAUGUUUCAACAAAUAAAACUCGAUACAAGUAAUAAUGUAUGAUUACAGAAAACGGUUACUUCUUUUAUGUUACUUCCCAAACAAGGGUUUUCGAGUAUCGAUUACAUUAUUCAAUCUGUCAUAAACACCAAGAGACACAAAACAUGAUUGAACGCGUAUUAUGGACAAACCUUUUUCCACUUUGCAAUUAAAUUACGAUCCGCAUAGCCCUGGUCCAAGCAGAACUCGUAUAACUCCCUGGAAAUCUCAUGCCUCCUGUGGUAAAGGUCAAAAACAUAUCGACUCUGCUGAUGGGCUAUUUUGAAAAUAGGCCACAAGGCCUCGCAUUUUCUUUGUCCAUCGUGUGGGUCAUUCUCAGCUGCCACCCAAAAAAUAAAACAAAAUCCGUACAUAAUCAAAACCAAAAACACAAUAAAAGAAAGAAAUCAAAGCGGUUCCUAUUUUCUUCUAGACGUAGAAACUGAAAGGACGAUAAACAACAGGACGUAAAGAAGCGAGAAAGAUGUUCUUUAUGAGAAUUUCACAAACCUUCUCUCAUUUUUGCUUGAAGUUCACGUAGGGUGGGUUCGAUCAAUUCCCAUCCCUCUGGGUACUUUACCCUAUUAGUCUUCACCUUCGGCAUGGUUUUCUAUACAAUAUACAUGGAAAUACAGUAUGAGAAAUCAUGCUAAAAAAAAUCAUAAAUGACAAUAUCUGCACUGUAAGUAUACCAUGGACGCAUAAAAAUCGUGACCUAAAUCAGAAAGUAAAUAUUCGAGGGAAAUUCAUACUGAUGAACUUUACUUAAAAAUUUCACAUAUCCCGUUUCAUCAGUUCAGUUAAAAUUUUAAACAAGGUUUAGGAAAAUCUUCUGUAAACGAAUUCAGGACAUGGAAGAAAUUAUUAAACAAAAAAACAAAAUCUGAAGGACAUAAUUGGAUGAGAAGGGAUAAAUUGAUACCAAAAUACCCUAGGGCAAAAUUCAUUACACUGUCUAACCACCGUUCCAGCCAAAAAAAAAAAGAAAAAAAAAAAACCACAAAUAACAAAACCCUAAUUCAUAAAUCGACAAAAAGUAAACACAGCAAAGGAUCAAUAGACAGUAGCGCGUGAUAAUUAGAUAAGGGCAGAGGUAAAUUACCAGAUGAAUUAGAGUUGGGCGACGGCGUCGGUCAAGAGAGGCGGGAGGCAACGGCGGAGUAGAGGAGGAUCGAAGUAAUCAACACUUCGAAUAUUUAUUUACACAGGCAGAUAAAAGUUGCGUUCUUUCCGUAAAACUACAAAUAAGAGUAAAGGCGCGCGUGCAGUUUCUCGGUGCGGAAGCCUAUUUUAUGACGCGCUUCUUACCCUUUUUUUUGUCGGCUAGUAGUUAUUACUUAUUACCAUGAUUUUUUAUUUUUAUUUUUAUUUAUUUAUUUUAUUUUCUUUAUUAGCAUGAUUUCAAAUAUACAAUAAUUAUUAAUUGAUAUUUCGUAGCAGAACCAAAUUCGAAGGGGCAGUUUUUUUUCUACUGCUGUUUUUGAAAUUAGUAAACAAAAUGGGGUCGUUUUGAAGAGUGUAACCAAAGUAAGGUUCGUCGCCACGUGGUCUGGCGACUCCAAUUAGUGCCGCCACGUGGCGUGGCGACUCCAAUUAUUUCUGCCACGCCGGAUGGCGACUCCAACAACAAUCUCUUUUUUUUUUUUUUUUUUUUUUUAAUUCGUUUUUUGCAAAUUUUUUUUGUAUUGUUAGAAAAAACAUUAAAAAAAAUGUAAAAAAUGUAUUUAUGAGCAUUUAAAAUUCUCAAUUAUCUAAUUCACGCAAUACAAGAAUACAUAAACAAUAAAUAAAAGAAGUUUUACCAAAUAAAAUAGUCAUACAAAAUAAAUAUUAACAACACAAUAAAAAAAAGUUCUACAAAAUAAAAGGUCAUAAAAAGUCACUGCCUAUGUCCACCAGUCCCACAUGCAGGUGGUCGUCUAGUCCUCCGCUGCCUACCAUCUCGACGAACGUCACGCUCUACUGGUACGUCAUCAACAAACUCGGUGUCGUCCGCUGGAUAUGGAACAGGAGAAACAUUAUACUGUGGUCGAGCCCGCUCUUGGGGAUUUGAGUAUCCCAAGUUAAGCUCCAAAUGUGGACUCCAUGAAGUGAACUGAGUAUCAAUAGCAGGAGGAUAUGGGGUAGCUAGAGAAUUGGACCAUGGCAUAUCUGGAACAUAAUCAGUCGUAGAUGGACCAAAUAGAUCUCUAUAUGUAGGUACCUGAGAUGUAGACGCACCGAACAUAUCCAUAAAUCCAUGUGUACCAGAUAAAUCAUCCAUACCUCCAUGCAUAGGAACAUGUCCAUAAAAAGGGGUAUGUGAAGCCAAUGGACCGACAACAUCUUCAGCAGGAGGUACCCGAGACGUAGAUGCAUAAUAGUUCCCCUCUCUCGUCUGUCUCACGUCAUCCUCCAAUUCGGCAGUGCCAGAGCGUCUUCUGGUACGUCUACCUUGUGUCUGAGAAGGUAUAGGAGGAAUAGGAGGUAUGUUGGAAGAAUCAGUAUCUCUACGCAAAAGUUGAGUCCCAGCUGCAUACAUCCGUGUAGCAUUGUCCUGAUACCGAUCAUAAAUCCGAUCGUCAUCUCGAGACACAGCCCUAGCAGCAAGACUCGUGAAUAUAAGCUGAUUACCCUGAAAUAAAAGACAUUACAUGUUUAAGAACUUAAAAACUUAAAAAAAAAUUGAAAAACAUCGAAAGUAAUGGUUAUUUUGAAAAAGAUAUUGACCACUAGAUCCAGUAAAAUCGGGUCUCCGAUCUGAAAACCAAUAUCAUCAAGAUUGUCAACCGGCGAUAUCAAACGACGCGUGUGCCUGUCAUACCAAUCGUAGUAUCCUGGGUCCGUCUGAGGUCCACUAAUCUCAAUAAAUGGAUAGUCAGUGAAAGAAUCGAGUCGAGCAUGCCAUCUAUCAACAUAGAUAUUGUGAAAAAUAGUCCAAUCUCUCCCCACAGCACCUCGACGAUCAUAAGAAUGCAACUUUAUCUCAAUAUCGUGAUCAGUAGGAUGUGGAGGAAUAUGCUGUAUCCUCCCAAACUGGCGCAGUACCCUAAGCAAACCGCAAUUAGCAACUUGUGUUUGUACUUAGUGUAGAGAUGAGUUCCAUCCACACUAAUAACUCUACGACAAAAUUUGAAUCCAUCCAAACAUGGCUUGAAGGCCCAAAAGAAGUAUCUGAUCAUCUUUCGUGUUGGAAUGUCUGUUGGUUUCAAUACAAACUCGAUUGCCGUAUCCGGGUUCGUUCUAUGGAGUGCCUUCAUAAACUUGGGCAAUUUGUUCAUUGAGGACUCCCAAGUCCCGAAUAAGUUCUCUCUGCAACGUUUCAAACCAUACCAAGCUUGCAUCCUUGAAAGUUGAAAUCCCAAUUGAGACCUAACCGUAUUCUGUACUUGGGUUAUUUUACAAGCUGGAUCAUCUCGAACAGAUUGAACCAUUAGUGUGGCAAUGUAAUUCCUGUCCAAAUUUCUGUGUUGGUUCGACAUUUCAUCCAUUAUGCAAUUGUGGGGUCCACUAUAUCUCGUAAUCAUAAAGAAAUCUUUGCCAGAUUUCUCAAUACCCCGCAACGACCAUCUGCAAGGCCUUUCAGUUGUGCUAUGCUUGCACUUGACACUCCAUAUCUUCUUAUUACUUUCGACAACUAUAAAUUCCCGUUUGGCAAACCGAAUCGAAUGGUCUCUCACCGCAGCACAAAGACGUUUUUUGUCCUCAAACACCAUCCCAACUUCAAGAAUACCUCGAUCGCUGUCGUAAAACCUAUCAUAUCGGCCCCUUCCAACAUCUACAGAAUCUGCCGCGACUUCUGGAAAUGACAUCGAGAAAAAUGGAAUUGACUCAUACAACGUUGGUUGUUCCCCCGCUUCUGCCCCUAUCCCUUCGUUGUGCUGCAACAACGUCUCUUGGACAUCAUGCACAUCUACAUCUUCUUCGUCAUCAGUUUCAUUAUCGGAUGGUUCCGAAUUCACGGGACUGUUCGGCCCAAGGGAGUCUCCUAUUGGGUCAUCAUCUUCGAAAAUGUUCGGUCCCGUCCCACUCGACUCACCAACAAAUCUCCCUAAAUUACCAUAGUUAAUUGUAUAGGGAUCUAUGUGGACCUCUCUCGCUCCACUAGGCUCACAAUAGUUUUCGAACCCUAAGUUGGGGAUACAUUGUGUCGCCGCCAGAAUAUCGGGGGUCACUUGUGGUUGUGAGUUGUUUGAUUCAUUCAAAUCAAAUGCUUCUACACUCACUUGUGGUGGGGCACUAUCAAAGUAUCUCGGUUCAACCUCAACAAAUACUUCGAUUGAGUCGUUCCCUUCGUCUGGAUCGAUAUACAAUUGUAAAUCGUCAUCCGUUGUCAUUUCAGUGAUCAUCUCCUUCGUUCUUCCUCCAUUUAAAAUGUAGGAUUUGCAACACACUCUUAGACCAAACUGAUUAAUAUCGACCUCUAAACGUUGAUACAACUUCGACAAAAAUUGAGCAAAGGACAUGUCACGUUUAAUUCGAAAUAUAGUUUUGUGGGCAAUACUAUAUCUCGCUACCCAAUCGUCGGGAAUUAUGUAACCUCCAAAGUACACGUACACUUUAACAUUAUUUCUAGCCGCCAUCAAUCUUCAAAAGAUUAAGGAAAUAAUUAUUAAUUAUUGAUUUUUUAAUUUUAUUUUAUUUAAUAGAACUACAAAUCGAAUAUACAAAUUAGACAUUAACCAUAAAAUUAAGCACUAUAAAAUCACACGUGAUAUGCAAUGUUUAAGUAUUUAAUAAUGGUUCAUGAGUAAUAACGAAAUUUAUGUUUUAAGUUUUUAGUGUAAGAAACUUUUUAGUGUAAUAUAUGCAUAAUUCUUCUGACUGUGACAAAUUUGGUCACGAAUAAAUAAAUUUAUUCAAUGUUGCAAUGGAAUCCUAACUUUUAAAUACAUUUGAGUCAUAGUCAACUAUGCUACUAACUCUAUCCUUAAUGCAAGUGUUGAUGAUGGGUUUUUAAUUUUUAAUUAGUCAAAGAUUGUUAGUUUUUAUUUAUUUUUAAGUUAACACAUGCUAUAAAAUAAUUUAUAAUUAAACAUACAUGCUAUAAUUAUACAAUUAUGAAUUAAUUCAACACCCAUGUUGUAAUUAAAAAUUAAUUAUAUAAACAUGCUAUAAUUAAAUAAUUAAUUAAACACACAUUCUAUAAUUAAACAAUUAAUUAAACCCACAUGCUAUAAUUAAAUAAUUAAUUAAAUACAUAUAUUAUAAUUAAACAAAUAAUUAAACAUAGAUGCUAUAGUUAAAUCAAUAUUUAAACACAAAGUUAAUUAUUUAAUUAAUAAACAUAAAGAAUAAUUAAAUAAAUUAUAACCUUAUAGAUGGACCGGACGACGACGGCGGCGGCGGCUGUAGGGUGGGGCGGCGGCGAGUUGGUCGGACGGCGGUAAACUGACCUCCGACGAGUUGCCGGACAAUGGUGGGCUGUUUUUGUUUUUUGUUUUUUUUUGUGAGUUUUUUUUUUUGUUCAAAAUGAGGCAAUGAACGGGAGAGAGAGGGGAGAGAGAAGAGGGAGGGGAGAGAGGAGGGUGAGAGAGGGCAGCUGACAAUAAUUGAGGAGAGAGAGGGGUGGGGUAGCUGGGUAAUAAAUGAGGAGAGAGAGUCGAAUUGCCCCAGCCGUUGGAUCCGUUAUAUCAAUCUCAACCGCACAAAUAUUUCAUUAAAAUAAAACAAAAACAUUAAUUCAAAUUCGAGUUAAAAAAAUAAUUAAUUAAUCACCGGCUAAACCGAGUCGCCACGGCACGUGGCAGAAACACUUGGAGUCGCCACGCCACGCGGCGGCACUAAUUGGAGUCGCCAGACCACGUGGCGAAAAACCCUACUUUGUUUACACUAUCCAAAACGACCCCAUUUUAUUUACGAAUUUAAAAAACUGCAUUAGAAGAAAAAAAAACGCCCCCAAAUUCGAACAACUUUUCCAGUUAGAUAAAAUAUAGAGCUUCACUAAAACAGUGUUUGAUUAUUAUUAUUACAAUAAUAACAAGAUAUAACUAUAAAGUUUAAACUUAAUUCAUACUCAACUUGGUUCAAAGUCGUCCGAGUUUCAAAUUCGAUCAGAAAAUUAAACAAUAAUGCGUUUGACUCGACUUGUUUGUAUUCGGAUUAAAUAAAUAAAAAAAUCUAUACUCUUUCCUUCACAACUGUUGUAACAAGUUUAUUACUGUUCCACACCAUGACCAAGGUCUCUUUAUGAACUGGGGUUCUGUGAGCCUCAACGUGGUGAAAGUCUAGAGUAUUCUUUCGAAGCUUACAUCUCGCGAUCUUUACAAUACUUAGGAAACAUCUGUCAAGUAACUGAAAAAAGCAUUUCAUAUAUCAGUAAAAGAUAUAAUUUAUUACUCUACAACGGAACACGAUACCAAAAAUCACCGGUAACCUUUUACUUGAGGUGGAGAUAGAUAUACAUUAUGGAAGCAAUUCAGCAUUUGAUUGAUUUUAGACUUACAGUUGGAACGUCAAAAUCAGCUUCUCUUGAAUCACAUAUAUCGAGUGAGAUUUUUCGGAGCAUUGGCAACUGCAUUAGUCAUAAGAAAUAAUGAAUGGAAAAUGUUAGUCCGACCAGUACAUCUUAACCACGAUUAUUACCCCAAAUAAAGAGGUUCCUUAUAUGCAGCGAUACUUACCUUGGAAGUAGCAUAAGUGAUGAAGUUUCUCGGAAUCCCGGGUCCCUGUUCAUAAAGAUGAAAGUUGUAAAAAGACGAACAACAAAGGAAUUUUGAGUGUUGCAAGAGAAAGGCAAGUGUUGCACUAACGGUGUGACGUAGUACGAGAUCUUCAAGGGCAUGACAGUCCAAAAGAGAUCUUACACCAUUUGCAGUUAUUUUUCCACAUUCCUGUAAAACAAAUAACAAUGUGCUGAGAAAGCGAAAUUACUGAGGCAUCUCGUAAGUCUUUUUUUUUUUUAAUAAAUAAAUUCAAAUCAUGUUACAAAUUGGGGAAGCAGGGACCAGCAAAAAUAGAGCUACAUACAAGGAAGUCCGCAAUUGCUGCCCCCUAACUGCUCAGACUAGAAAAUAAACUAUUUUUAACUGUUUUCUUAUUUAAUGUCUGAUCAUGACCUCAUCUUUUCAAAUCUCCACUGAUUAGGCAAGACUUCUGUGAGUGGGUUAUUGUUAAGGGUAUUCUAGUAACUGGUCCCAAAAGAAACUUUUGAAGUACUCAUCGUGAUUUCAGUGCAAGGGUCCUAUCUCUAAUUAAAAAAAAUUAAUUUUUUAACUCGUCUUCAAACAAGCCCAAAAACAAAUUAGGAAAGAAGAGAUCCAAGUUUGCCUCUUAGCUAUGAGUCUUCAAUAGAGAUUCAUUACUCACUUCUCUUCUUUUUGCUUAGCUCUUAUUCUCUUCUUACUUCAAAAAUUUACUCCGUGCCAAGAGAAAGAUUCACAUAUUCAGAAUAACAUAAGAAAUUUAGAGAGCAGAAGAUAGCAAACCUCAAGAUGAAGAGAUGUCAACCCUGGCCAACCACUUGAAAUUAUAGCUUGUGCUUCUACAAAAGAUACAAAAAGCAAUAAAAAUGAGUUUUAAUUAUCUUUUACGCUUGCAUUAAAUAUAAUUUUUGGCUUUAUCAAUCACUAAUAUAUUUAGUUAGUAUGAACUUACUAUGAAUUCAUGAGACACAAGACACUCACCAGAAUCAAGCAAGGUGCAUCCUAUUAAUGAAAGCUUAACCAAAUUUUCACAAUUCUCAGCAAGAGUAGCCAAUUCUCCAUUAGUCAUCCAUGGAGUUACUCUUUCAAGUUUCAAGUUCCUCAAAUUUGGCAUCCUGAACUUAAAGCUUAAUGGGGAUAUGUCACCGAGGCAAUAGCAUAGGGCUAAUGAUUGCAAAUGUGGCAAGGUAUUUAUUAUGUCAGUUAUAGCCGAAUCCGAUAUCACCUGUGAGCAUAUAUUUAUUAUGUCAGUUAAGUGAACACAUAUUACACACCAACAUCCAUUAGCAUGCAGCAGUCAUUACAACGGAGAACAUUCAUACUAAAGGACCAUUGCUAAGUCGAGAUAAAUUUCCCUGAUUAGGCAUAUCAAGGAUAUUCGACAUUAUAGAGUUUUGAAAACACGUAGGCAUUUUAAUAGAUAACCUAUACCAAAUAAUAUUUUUUUCUGCUCUCAAAAUUACGAUUCUAAGAAAAAUAGGCGAGAAGAGCGAUCCGACUCGAUUUGCCAGCCAAAAACAUCACAUCGUUCCUUCAAUCAUUCUAUCUGUACAACUUGCAGUGAUGCUUAGUUAAAAGAUAUUAAAGUAAAGCUCUCAACAUUUUAAGCACAUCUGUUCUGCAUAUUAUAACUAUACAAUUGUGACCAACCGCGGUAGAAAUUCUUCAGGUGGAUAAAUAUAAUUACAACAUAAAUAUGAUGUUAUAGUAAAUCUACGGUACCUGAAAAAAAAGAAUCAGUGUCUCAAGCAGUGGACAGAUAGCGGGUAACAGCUUCAAGCCAUCAGGGCCUAAGGAUCCACCUAAACCAACAAGUAAUGUUCUUAAUGUUCUCAUUGCUGGUUUAAGGGCUUCAAGAGAGAAAAAGGAAAAUCCCCAUCCAAGUUCAAUCUCCUCCAACUUGCAGGACUUGCCUAGCUCAUAGUAUAUUUCUUCUGGAGUAUACAAUGGAUUAAACAGUUUUCUUUCCUUAGUUUCAGAUUCCUGACGUAACAGAUGUAUACAGCCUCUUGUUUUCAGAGAUUUCAAAUCAGGAUUUCUACGAAUGAUACGAGAUAAAGCAGCAAAGGAAACCUGAAAUUUCAGAAGCAUGUAUUUUUUUGUAUGGCUGCAUUUACUCGGGCUUGGUAUUGCGACUAGUAAAAUAGAUAGCAACUCAAGAUAACUCAUUUCUUGAAGAUUCGUGAAAGAAAAAAAAAAGCAUCAUUCGUACCUCAGUGUUAGAAACAUCAAGCAUCUCCAAGGAGACCCCUGAAAACCUAUAAAGAGCAUCAUCCACAAGUUUAAGAUCUCUUACACAUAGACUCUUCAAACUAUCUGCUCUAGACAUAAGCUCAGACAAAAUCUUCCCAGUUAUUCCUGCCAAAGGAGUUAGUAGAAUUAAUAACAUUUAUUCCUGACAGAAAAUUUACAUAUAUUUUCGGCCAAAAAUUAGUGGAAGUAAGACAGUGGGAGGGAAAAGUAAACAGUAUAUACCAUGGCAUCCACCAACGUGCAAGGUUAGAAGUUUGAAAACCAUCAACUGCGAGUUAUUUUCACUUUGUUCUGUUUCAGUUGAAAUACCAGAGGAAAACGCCACAACAGAACCAUUUCCAAAAGAGGUAUCACACGCCAAAAUUGAUUUGAGUCUUUUGCAUAUUAGAAUCAUUUUUGAUAUACCAUGGUCUGUGACUGAUGUACACCCUUUAAUGUUAACAUAACUCAAAGAACGGCAGACCUCUGAGAUGAUACAAAGAUCAGAAUCUGUAACAAAUCAAAUUAAUAAUUUAAUUUUGACAGGCUUAGCAAAAACAAACUCUACCUAAUACAAAUACUAAACAACUACAAGUCAGAAUAUCAAUCACAUCCAGAGCAAUAAGGCUGCAAGAUAACUGUACGAAUGAUAAGAUAUUAGGUUAUUAUGGUUGAAGUUGGUUUACUACCCAUGCUGCAUCAUGGUACCCACACAACCCUAGCCUCAUUUUUUCAAAAAGGCUUGAACCUGGAAUUAAUCCCGAGAAAUCCAAGAUCAUAGAUACAUGUCUACAACCUUGAUGGAAGACUGAAAACAUGAGAAAUAUAGACCGACUUCUAGCCUCACCACCCUAGUAUAUUGAGCUUCAUGUUAAUAGAAUGAAGAGAACUGCUAAAUACCACUAUUCACUAGUCUAAAGUCUGAAAUUCUAGUAAUCACACGCCUUGAGCCCUUGGCCCUCACAUAUAUCUUCAUAAGCUCUCGGACCUUGCAUGAGUUCUCCACGUAUUUCUCGUAGUUAAUAAAAAAUUUCAAGCUUUUCUAUGGAGCAUUUGGGGUUUGGGGGGAGCGGGGGAGAAUCUUACCUCUUAAAUCAGUUCGGCCCUCCAAAGUGAGUCUUAUGAUAUUUGAUACCAAGGGCUUGGAUGUAUAAAACAAUGAUGCUGUCGAACUUUCUGGUAUUAGAACCGAUGAAGAUACCGCAAUAGAUACUUGUGCAGGUAUAACAGGUUUAAUAUCCAAACUCAAGUCAAUAUUGGCAAGUAGAGGCAAUUUUUGCACCAACUGGCGCAACUUUCUUAUCUUGAAGUUUAAGUAAUAAGCUGCCCUUAAUGUUCUUAGAGAUGGAAAUAACUUGCAGAAACAAUCAAUUGCUGACUCCAGGGAAAGAGAUGGGCAAUUUGAAAUAUCCAACUCCUGCACUGCUUCAAAACUCAAAUUCUGAUACACUGCAUCCGAGAUCUGGAAACUACUUUCUCCAAUGUUUCCAUUAUUCAUGGAAGCCUUCUUAAUGAUCUUUCUCAGCAUUGAAUCAGUUUCACAUGAUGGAAGCACAGAAAGAAGAAAUACUCCUGCCGUAAUUUGUGGGCAACUAGAAACAUCGAUUUUCUGCGCAAUACAAUUGAGAAAGUGAUUAUUUAACUAAAGGAAAAAGACCAUGCACCACGCACCCAAUUCAAAAAGAGAUAGAUACCAAAUUGACUUUCUCUAAGCAAGACCAUAUUUCAAAAACUGAAAGAAAGGGCAACGAGAGUCCAGAGUUUUAAAGAGAUUCUGAGCUGAAGUAACCAACAUAUGCAUUAAAAGAAAUGAUGUCCUGCACUCCAAAAACAAGUGUACUAUCUCUUCGAAAAUCAAUUUUCAAGGAGGAAAACCUGUAACUUUUGGGGGUCCACGUUACAAAUUACCCAUAUAAGCAUGUAAUCCAGAAAAUGUCGAAAAUAUAAUGUCAUGCUAAGAAUGAAGAUAGAAAAUUACUUGGGUAUACUUGGUCAAGCGGAUCCUAUGUUGACUUGAGUCGCCUCCUCCAAAGAGGUCUGUUGAGUUCGUAGAAGGAUAUCUCGCAAGACUGAGAAUAGUACUUGUUGCUUUAUCAGCAAACUUUGAAAAGAAACCGCACCUUCGUUUUCCUGAAACAGUGAAAAUGAUGAUAUAUAGUGGACAGGUCAUAUUGACGAGGCGUUCAGUAUUCUUAGGGUCAAAAGGCUUCUAUUUACUCAAGUAAGACAGCAUACCGAGAGCAUACCACAACGGCAGGAGGCUCGUACGUAUCUGCUCAAGAUAAAUAUGAAACGAGUAAGUGACGAAUAAAAUUGCACAGAUUUCUAUUUUAUCAACCAAAGAGAUGGAAAGGUCUAUUACCUUAGGCCUCUAUCAAACCUACUAGUAAACUAAAUGAGAUUUUAUUUGCUAGUUACUUCCAAGAACUCUAUGAAUUUGUAUUAUUGUGACUCGAGACACUCAACUCUCAAGCCAUAUUCUUAAAAAUCAACAUUCCAAGUUCUAUUUCCUAGUCUUUUAAUUGUUUUUAACCAAAUCCUGAAUAUUCUACAAUUUUCAAAUAUACCUUGCUUUUUUGAAAUCUAAUGCUUCCACUUAAAAUCAGUCCCAAUACAGCAACUGGUCGUGAAUAUGAAUUAGACAUUUUAAUACUGGAUUGUGAUUCGAUAUUCAGUGACCGACCUGAUAAACAUAGAAACUCUGGUAGUAUACAACAGAUACGAGCAUGUUCCAGAAACUAACAGAAAUUGUAGGAUCAAGAUUGUCUGAUACUGAAUAAUAUCAAGAAGCCCAUUAUCACGUUCCUCAAUACCAGAGAGAUAUCAUUCAAUUUUAUCGUUUUAUAUUGUGCUUACUUGAUAGAUCCCACGCUCGUACCUUGUCACAUAAAUCACUGCUACUCAAGCCCUCUGAUUUUGUAGUGUUUGCGUUGAGAAAAACUAGAAUCGCUUCACAAAGAUGCUUCUCACUGUGAAAGCAAUUAAAAGGAGCAUCACAAUGAGUUCUCUUUAUAAAUAGUAGAAUAGGAAAAUCUUCUAACCUGUCAACAGUCAAAUCAGGAUGUUGGAUACAUGAGUAGAGUAGUUUGUCUGGGACAUCAGUGUAUGAGUUGAAUGAUAAUGCCCACAUCUGCAAAUAUAAAUUAUGACGUUAUCAGGUCUAAAUGAGGAAAAUGAGUAUAAGAUGACUGAGAAUCCAUAACUGUAAUUUGUUAAAGAAAUACGACCAUGAGCACACAACUUAGAAACAGAAACAACAAUAAUUCUGAACAAGAGUCGAGUAAUAAUGCAUCAAAAUUGUCGAGUCAAAACAAAAGCACUUACAAAGUUCAUAGCCAAAUAGCUUGUACAGAGCUGCAGAAUAUAAUCAUUUGCUGCAACAUAUUCGACUUCCAUCUAUAAGACCGAGUUCAAUAAUAUCGAUAAAGAAAUAAGUAAUGCUCAUAAUUUCUUAUACAUGCAUCUUUAUCAUAGUCUGCAUAACCAAAAAGAAAACCUUACCAAGCUCCAAACCAUACUUCCAGAUGUGAACCAAGCCAUCUAGGCAUAGUUGUGGUGAUUGAAUCCCUUUGAAAGAAGUCACUUCUUCCAACCAAACUCGACACUUACAGAGAAGUGAGUCCACCCCAAAAAAUAAAGCUGCCUGGGUAUAUAUAAAAACAAUUUCAGAAAUUGUGAUGGAAAACCUCCCAAUAUUAACUGAAAUAGAAUCAAUUUCCUAAUCGAAUCAAUUUCCUAAUCACUGAAUCCAACAUCAACUGCUUAGAUACAAAAGUUUUAGGAAAUCCACACCAACAGAUAACUAAGUCCUUAGGAGCUUUAAUAAACAGAGUUGAUAAGCGUAGAAGAAAAUUACUAUUUUAUAAAAAUCACAAUGACAAAAGCAAUCAAUCAAUUACUAAUCAAAAUGCUCUAUCGGGUGAAACAUAAUUCAUCAGCAAAGGGUUGGCCUCAAAGAACAGAAGUAUUACCUCAUUAAGAGGAAUAAAAUUAUCCGAGGAAAUUUCCACGUCGAAUCCAAAUACAUCCAUUAACACAUUCACAAACGACUCCACGUUCCAAUGUAUUGAUAUAGAAUUGAGCCUAGAUUCACUGAAAAAAAAAAUGCACAAGAACAACAUCAAUAAACGAUAAGCAUGGGAAAGCUUCAUCAGAAAACACGUGAUUAUUACCUAAAACUUCCACCAAGGAGUCCACGGAAAUAUGAAGAUUCUUCAAUAAGCCUGUGAAUUAAAAAAAAAAAAAAACACUUGAUCGGAAAUUUAUUACAAAUAGAACUAAUUAAAGAGUAUUGAAUUAAGAGUCGGGUUGAUUUUGNNNNNNNNNNNNNNNNNNNNNNNNNNNNNNNNNNNNNNNNNNNNNNNNNNNNNNNNNNNNNNNNNNNNNNNNNNNNNNNNNNNNNNNNNNNNNNNNNNNNAGCUGGAGGUCAUAUCGAUUAGAUGGUGACCGCCCUCUGAUUUUGAUGACUUUGUGAGUAAGAACUGAAGGCAAUCCCAGCUAUCGAUCUCGGCCGUAGAAAUUAUAAUCUCGUCGACGAUGUCGUCGGGUUCUCGUCCGGGUCGGAGCCAGUGCAUACAAGAGUUAAUAGGUCACCGGAAUCCUGAUCGUGUGCCGUCGACGCCAUUACAGUGUUGUACUUCGCUUCUGAUGUGGGAAGGAAAUUUCUGUUACUACCAUUUUAUAUGAAUGACCUUUUGCCUUGCCGAGUUUUUGGAUUUAUUUCUUAAACGAAGUAGCGAUUUAUAAUAAACGUUUUAGACAAUAGAAAUUAUUUUCAUUAAUGAUGCAUAACUAAAACAUUAGUAUUAAUCAGUAAUUACUAAUUAGUGCAACUCAUAUAUAUUAUAUACAAGUAUAAGAGAAAUUAAGCUAUACGCCUUAAUAAUGGUUCUUUUUAACUCUAGAAGUUAUUCAUUUGACAUUUUGUAACAUAAUUUACUAAAAGUGUGUGUAUAUUUUGAAUUUUGACAACCGAACCGAACGUGUUACUGGCCCCUACUAUUUAGGAACUUUAUAGCGAUAAUCAAAUGAGCCCUGAAGAGUUUAUAACAUAUUAUACGAUAUAGUGUAAUUUUAUGGUUUUAUUUUAUUAAAGUGGUUUAAUUUUAAAGAAUUAAAUGGUGGAUGUUGAGAAUUUUAAGGGGUAAUUAAAAAUAAGAACUUCAAAUAUAUUAAUUAAUUAAUAUUAAUAACACCAUAAAAGAGAUUUAGACAACUUAAAAAAAAUAAUUCAAAAAGGAAAUUGCAUGGCUUCAGUUUGCAGCUCCACCAAAAAUAUUUAAUUCAAUAAACAUACAAUUAACGGGAAAAUUAGAUGUUAUUCAUAAAGCCAAAAAGGGGAAGAAAAAAAAAUUCUCCUAAAUCGAAUUUGUUCGUCAUUAAUCAUUUUGGAGCGGAGGAAGAUACUAGAGAAGCGGUGCUGCGGCAACGGCGGCGGCGCACAAUAAGCUUUUCCGUUAUAAUCAGCUAGCGCACCACCUUCUUGUGAAAAUUCCUGUGACAGCUGCACGCCGCACACCUCAACGCGGCGCUGCUCCCCUCAUCUCCGGCCGGCAUGAACUCGCAGCAGCCGUCGACGGCGUACUUCCCGAUGCUGGCGGCGUGGUUUUUCCGGCACUCCUCGUAGGUCACAACUCUUUCGUCCUUAUCCGGAAUCUUCCGCUCGUUCUGGAUCAGAUUCAUUUUCGAAUAAGGUAGGCCAACUGUGAGAAGAAAAGACCUCAUCAUAUAUACAGUCGUUCAAUAAUGGAAAGCCCUAGUUUUUCAAUUGUGGUAAAAUUCGUACUCGGUGCAAUAAUGCAGUAGCAGUAGGAAGGGGGAGAAUUGCGCAGAGCAUUAUUUAGGGAUGGGUGUGCGGAAGUGGUUGGGGCGAUCAUCAGUAGGUGGCUGCGAUAGGUGGCGCAGCCGAUUUUGAUUGAUUUAUCGCCGGCAUUGGUAGAUCCGAUUUAAAUGGCGUGUCCGUAUGAAAAGGUAGGUUUAUUGUUGGGGUUUCAAUAAUGGCUGUUCACUAUUCAUUGGUCUCUCGUGCAUGGUC